GACGUAGGGCGCGAGCGUUGUCCGGAUUUAUUGGGCGUAAAGAGCUCGUAGGCGGUCUGUCGCGUCUGGUGUGAAAAUCCAGGGCUUAACCCUGGACCUGCAUCGGGUACGGGCAGACUAGAGUGCGGUAGGGGAGAUCGGAAUUCCUGGUGUAGCGGUGAAAUGCGCAGAUAUCAGGAGGAACACCGGUGGCGAAGGCGGGUCUCUGGGCCGAUACUGACGCUGAGGAGCGAAAGCGUGGGGGAGCGAACAGG
This 254-nucleotide ribosomal RNA is filed under the name uncultured bacterium. Its description in RNAcentral is "partial 16S ribosomal RNA". It matches the Rfam family "Bacterial small subunit ribosomal RNA", at positions 524 to 776 of the family's 1533-position model. The record is from RNAcentral.